Lupinus angustifolius (narrow-leaved blue lupine) is the source of this 82-nucleotide small nucleolar RNA. It matches the Rfam family "small nucleolar RNA snoR114". The record is from Rfam. Lineage: Eukaryota; Viridiplantae; Streptophyta; Magnoliopsida; Fabales; Fabaceae.
GAACUGUGAUGAUUCUUUGUGCAGUUUGUGUUAGAUGGGUCUUUCACUAACGUCCUUCGACGAAACAAGCACAUCUGAGUUC